AACCUGCCAAUCCCCUCAGGCUUCAGGAAAAGGGUCAGCUGCCAACGACACUGAGUAAAUAAAUACAACUAAUAUUCCACCCAAAUACACUAAAAACAGCACCAACGAGAUGAAAGACACCCCCAAACUCACCAAUCACCCACACCCCACAACAGACCCCAACACUAACCCUACAACCCCAUAAUAAGGAGAAGGAUUAGAAGCUACUGCCAACCCACCUAAAAUAAAACAGAUACUUAAAAAAACCAUGAAGUACGUCAUAAGGUUCUUACCUGGACUCUCUCCAAGACCUAUGGCCUGAAAAACCACCGUUGUAAAUUCAACUAUAAGAACCUCAUCCCCAAAAUUUUCUAUCUAACCUAACAACCCAUCCCUCAAUAUCAUCAAUUCCAGUCAAAUACUUCUUUCUUUUAGACUCCUCCAAGUACAAAACUAUUAUCCAACCAACAAACUAAAAAUACAACAAUUGCAAUAUAAAAACAUACAACCAACAGUCCCUGUAGCUUAUAAAAAGCAUAACACUGAAGAUGUUAAGAUGGCUGCCUCAUACACCCAAGGACAAAAGACUUAGUCCUAACCUUAUAGUUAGUUCUUGCUGCAUAUAUACAUGCAAGUAUCCGCACCCCAGUGAAAAUGCCCUCAACAUCUUAUCAAGAUAACAGGAGCAGGUAUCAGGCCCACUCCUAAUUGUAGCCCAAGACGCCUUGCCCAGCCACACCCCCACGGGUAUUCAGCAGUAAUUGAUAUUAAGCAAUAAGUGAAAACUUGACUUAGUCAAAGCAAUCCAUCAGGGUUGGUAAAUCUUGUGCCAGCCACCGCGGUCAUACAAGAAACCCAAAUUAACCUUACACGGCGUAAAGAGUGGUCUUUCAUUAUCAACUCAACUAAGAUUGAAAUGCAACUAAGCUGUUAUAAGCACAAGAUGCACCUAACACCCCUUAUAAAAAUGAUCUUAGCCUCAUGAUUAAUAAAAUUCCACGAAAGCUAGGACACAAACUGGGAUUAGAUACCCCACUAUGCCUUGCCCUAAAUCCUGAUGUUUAUUCUACCUAAACAUCCGCCUGAGAACUACGAGCACAAACGCUUAAAACUCUAAGGACUUGGCGGUGCCCCAAACCCACCUAGAGGAGCCUGUUCUAUAAUCGAUAACCCACGAUACACCCAACCACCUCUUGCCACACCAGCCUAUAUACCGCCGUCCCCAGCUCACCCCUAACUUGAGGGCCUAACAGUGAGCACAAUAGCCCUAUUCCGCUAGCAAGACAGGUCAAGGUAUAGCUUAUGAAGUGGAAGAAAUGGGCUACAUUUUCUAGUAUAGAAAACCCACGACAAGGAAUAUGAAACCAUUCCUAAAAGGCGGAUUUAGCAGUAAAGCAGGACAAUCAUGCCUCCUUUAAGCUGGCCCUGGGACACGUACAUACCGCCCGUCACCCUCUUCACAAGCUACUAACACCUAUUAUACAUAAUUCCCCAUUAAGCUAAAGACGAGGCAAGUCGUAACAAGGUAAGUGUACCGGAAGGUGCACUUAGUCUACCAAGAUGUAGCUAUAACAAAAGCAUUCAGCUUACACCUGAAAGAUACCUGCACUGUACCAGGUCAUCUUGAAGCCUACUCUAGCCCACCCCUCCCCAACAUAAACUAAUUACCCUACCCUAAAGAAACCAAAACAUUUUUUCCCCUAAUCCUAGUAUAGGCGAUAGAAAGGUGACCAAGGAGCAAUAGAGACUACGUACCGCAAGGGAAAGAUGAAAUAACAAUGAAAAAUUAAGCACUAAAUAGCAAAGACUAACUCUUGUACCUUUUGCAUCAUGAUUUAGCAAGAAUUAACCAAGCAAAACGCCAAUUUAAGCUUGUUAUCCCGAAACCCAUGCGAGCUACUUACGAGCAGCUAUUUACUGAGCUAACCCGUCUCUGUUGCAAAAGAGUGGGACGACUCGUCAGUAGAGGUGAAAAGCCAACCGAGCUGGGUGAUAGCUGGUUGCCUAUGAAAUGAAUUUAAGUUCAUCCUCAAUUCUUCCUAAAGGACCCUCACCGAACCUACAUGAAAUAGAUCGAGGAAUAUCUAAAGGAGGUACAGCUCCUUUAAAAAGUACACACUCUCCUCCAGCGGAUAAGUACCCCUUACCCCCCUUACUGUGGGCCCUAAAGCAGCCACCACCAAAGAAUGCGUCAAAGCUCAGCUCCAAAAAAAUCCGAAACCCCCCACGACUCCCUCCCCCCUAAUAGGCUAACUUAUAAUAAUAAGAGAAUUAAUGCUAAAAUGAGUAACUAGGGACCCUUCCCCUCUAUGGCACAAGCUUACAUCCAACAUUAUUAACAAAUCACAAGAUAUAUACCAACACUCAACAAGACUUAGUAUCACAGAACCUGUUAACCCGCCCAUGGAGUGCCCUAAAGAAAGAUUAAAAUCUGUAAAAGGAACUAGGCAACCCUAAGGCCCGACUGUUUACCAAAAACAUAGCCUUCAGCAGACCAAGUAUUGAAGGUGAGGCCUGCCCAGUGACAAAACGUUCAACGGCCGCGGUAUCCUAACCGUGCGAAGGUAGCGCAAUCAAUUGUCCCAUAAAUCGGGACAUGUAUGAAUGGCUAAACGAGGCCCUAACUGUCUCUUACAGAUAAUCAGUGAAAUUGAUCUCCCUGUACAAAAGCAGGGAUUACAACAUAGGACAAAAAGACCCUGUGGAACUUCAAAAUCAACAGCCACUCCCCCAUACUACCCUCCCUACCCCUGGAUUAUUCCCCGGGACUCUAUUGGCCUGUAUUUUUUGGUUGGGGCGACCUUGGAGAAAAACUGAUCCUCCAAAAAUUAGACCACUCCUCUAUACCAAGAACAACCUAUCAACGUACUAACAGUAACCAGACCCAAUAUUAUUGAUCAAUGAACCUAGCUACCCCAGGGAUAACAGCGCAAUCUCCCUCAAGAGCCCAAAUCGACAGGGAGGUUUACGACCUCGAUGUUGGAUCAGAACAUCCUAGUGGUGCAGCCGCUACUAAGGGUUCGUUUGUUCAACGAUUAAUAGUUCUACGUGAUCUGAGUUCAGACCGGAGCAAUCCAGGUCGGUUUCUAUCCAUGACAAACUCUUUCCAGUACGAAAGGACAGAAAGAGUAAGGCCAAUACCCCAAGCACGCCUUCGCCCAAAGAUAUGAACCCAACUAAAUCUCCUAGGGCUAACCCCCUCUAUUCUCCUAGAAAAGGACCGCUAGCGUGGCAGAGCUUGGUAAAUGCAGAAGGCUUAAGCCCUUUACCCAGAGGUUCAAAUCCUCUCCCUAGCUCUCUUCCCCCAUCACAUGACCACCCACACCAAUCUAAUCCACCUCACUAUAUCACUAUCCUAUGCUCUACCAAUUUUAAUCGCUGUAGCCUUUCUAACAUUAGUCGAACGCAAAGUUUUAAGCUAUAUACAAACCCGAAAAGGACCCAAUAUCGUAGGACCAUUUGGUCUUCUACAACCCAUGGCAGAUGGGGUAAAACUAUUCAUUAAAGAGCCAAUUCGCCCAUCCACCUCAUCUCCCUACCUAUUUAUUGCCACCCCAAUAUUAGCCCUUCUCCUAGCAAUUACCAUCUGAACCCCACUCCCCCUCCCUUUCCCUCUUACAGAUAUAAACUUAGGCAUACUCUUCCUCCUUGCCUUAUCCAGCCUUGCAGUUUACUCAAUCCUAUGAUCUGGAUGAGCCUCAAACUCAAAAUACGCACUAAUUGGUGCCCUACGAGCAGUUGCACAAACAAUCUCCUAUGAAGUUACACUAGCCAUUAUCCUUCUAUGUGUAAUCAUCUUCAGUGGAAACUACACCCUCAAUACCCUCGCUACUACCCAAGAACCAAUAUAUCUUAUUUUCUCCUCUUGACCACUAGCAAUAAUAUGAUAUAUCUCUACACUCGCAGAAACAAACCGUGCCCCAUUCGAUCUCACAGAAGGAGAGUCAGAACUAGUCUCAGGAUUCAACGUAGAAUAUGCCAACAUCAUACUAAUAAAUACACUAACCACCAUCCUAUUUCUAAACCCAAGUACACUUAACAUUUCCCAAGAACUUUACCCACUCGCCUUAGCCACAAAAACCCUUCUUCUUUCCGCAGGCUUUCUAUGAAUCCGUGCCUCUUACCCUCGAUUCCGUUAUGACCAACUAAUGCAUCUACUAUGAAAAAACUUUCUACCACUAACACUAUCACUAUGCUUAUGACAUAUUAGCCUACCAAUCUCAUAUGCAGGUUUACCACCCUACCUAAGACACUCAAGGAAAUGUGCCUGAACUACAAAGGGUCACUAUGAUAAGGUGAACAUAGAGGUACACCAGCCCUCUCAUUUCCUAGACUUAGGAAAGUAGGAAUCGAACCUACACAGAAGGAAUCAAAAUCCUUCACACUUCCUUUAUAUUAUUUCCUAGUAAGGUCAGCUAAUUAAGCUAUCGGGCCCAUACCCCGAAAAUGAUGGUUUAUCUCCUUCCCUUACUAAUGAACCCCCAGGCUAAACUAAUUUUCUCCAUAAGCCUCCUCCUAGGAACAACUAUCACAAUCUCAAGCAACCAUUGAAUAAUGGCAUGAACCGGGCUCGAAAUUAACACCUUAGCUAUCCUCCCUUUAAUCUCAAAAUCUCAUCACCCACGAGCCAUUGAAGCUUCAACUAAAUACUUUUUAGUCCAAGCAACUGCUUCAACAUUACUCCUCUUUUCCAGUAUAUCAAACGCAUGAUUUACCGGCCAAUGAGACAUCACCCAACUUACUCACCCAGCAUCGUGCAUAUUACUGACAACUGCAAUCUCAAUAAAACUAGGCCUGGUCCCAUUCCACUUCUGAUUUCCGGAAGUCCUGCAAGGUUCUUCCCUUAUAACAAGCUUACUACUAGCUACAGUCAUAAAAUUCCCUCCAACCAUCCUCCUCCUCCUUAUUUCUCCUUCACUCAAUCCAACCAUACUGGUCAUAAUAGCCAUCGCUUCCGCAGCCUUGGGAGGCUGAAUAGGGCUCAACCAAACUCAAAUUCGCAAAAUCAUAGCCUUUUCAUCUAUCUCCCACCUAGGCUGAAUAGCAAUCAUCCUCAUUUAUAACCCCAAACUCACAUUAAUCACUUUCUACCUUUACUCAUUAACAACAGCCGCUAUUUUCUUCGCUCUUAAUUCCACCAACACCCUAAAACUCUCAGCUCUCAUAACUACAUGGUCCAAAAUUCCCACACUAACUGCAACCCUCAUACUUACUCUUUUAUCCCUUGCAGGACUUCCACCCCUAACCGGAUUCCUGCCUAAAUGACUAAUCAUCCAAGAAUUGACCAAACAAGAGCUAACAACCGCAGCAACUAUCAUUGCCCUACUCUCCCUGCUAGGACUUUUCUUCUACCUUCGCUUUGCCUAUUGUGCAACAAUCACCCUCCCACCCAACUCCGUUAACCAUAUAAAACAGUGACAAGUUAGCAAACCUAUUAACACCCUAACCUCUACACUCACCAUGCUGUCAAUUAUACUCUUACCUUUAUCUCCUACAAUUCUCACAAUUCCAUAGAAACUUAGGUUACUUAAACUGAGGGCCUUCAAAGCCCUAGACAAGAGUUAUCUCCUCUUAGUUUCUGUUAAGAUCCGCAGGACAUUAUCCUGCAUCUCCUGAAUGCAACCCAGGCACUUUAACUAAGCUAGGACCUUUCCUAGACAGAUGGGCUUCGAUCCCAUAUCUUUCUAAUUAACAGUUAGAUGCCAUAACCACCAGGCUCCUGUCUACUAGACCCUGAUGCAUACUUAAUGCAUAUCUUUGAGCUUGCAACUCAAUAUGAAAUUCACUACAGAGUCGAUAAGAAGAGGAAUUAAACCUCUGUCAAAAGGUCUACAGCCUAACGCCUUAACUCUCGGCCAUCUUACCUAUGACUUUCAUCAACCGAUGACUAUUCUCAACAAACCACAAAGAUAUUGGUACCCUAUACUUAAUUUUCGGCGCCUGAGCCGGCAUGAUUGGUACUGCCCUAAGUCUCCUUAUCCGAGCAGAACUUGGACAACCAGGAACCCUUCUAGGAGACGACCAAAUCUAUAAUGUAAUUGUUACCGCCCAUGCUUUUGUAAUAAUCUUCUUUAUAGUAAUACCUAUUAUAAUUGGAGGAUUUGGCAACUGACUAGUCCCCCUAAUAAUUGGUGCCCCCGAUAUAGCAUUCCCACGCAUGAACAACAUAAGUUUCUGACUUCUUCCCCCAUCAUUCCUUCUCCUCCUAGCCUCAUCUACAAUUGAAGCCGGAGUAGGAACUGGAUGAACCGUAUACCCACCAUUAGCUGGCAAUCUAGCACAUGCUGGAGCUUCAGUAGACCUGGCCAUCUUCUCACUUCAUCUUGCAGGCAUUUCCUCAAUCCUAGGUGCCAUCAACUUCAUUACCACUGCAAUUAACAUGAAACCACCAGCCCUAUCACAAUAUCAAACCCCCUUGUUCGUAUGAUCUGUCCUAAUCACCGCAGUUCUUCUCCUCCUCUCUCUACCAGUUCUCGCUGCCGGUAUCACCAUACUCCUGACAGACCGCAAUCUCAACACUACAUUCUUUGACCCCGCAGGAGGUGGAGAUCCAGUUCUAUACCAACACCUCUUCUGAUUUUUUGGUCAUCCAGAAGUCUACAUUCUUAUCCUACCAGGAUUUGGUAUUAUCUCACACGUUGUAGCCUACUAUGCUGGCAAAAAAGAACCAUUCGGCUAUAUAGGAAUAGUCUGAGCCAUACUAUCCAUCGGCUUCUUAGGCUUUAUCGUAUGAGCUCAUCAUAUAUUCACAGUAGGAAUAGACGUAGAUACCCGAGCAUAUUUUACAUCUGCCACAAUAAUUAUUGCAAUUCCCACUGGCAUUAAAGUCUUUAGCUGAUUAGCUACCCUACACGGAGGUACUAUUAAAUGAGAACCACCUAUACUAUGAGCCCUAGGAUUCAUUUUCCUAUUCACUAUUGGAGGACUUACAGGCAUUGUCCUAGCUAACUCUUCCCUAGACAUCGCCCUCCAUGAUACCUAUUAUGUAGUAGCACAUUUCCAUUACGUCUUAUCUAUAGGUGCCGUAUUUGCAAUCCUAGCAGGAUUCACACACUGAUUCCCACUCUUUACAGGAUACACUCUCCACCCAACAUGAGCUAAAGCACACUUUGGUGUAAUAUUUACAGGAGUAAACCUAACCUUCUUCCCCCAACAUUUCCUAGGCCUAGCUGGCAUGCCACGACGAUACUCAGACUACCCAGACGCCUAUACUCUAUGAAACACUUUAUCUUCCAUUGGUUCACUCAUCUCUAUAAUCGCUGUAAUUAUACUUAUAUUCAUUA
RNA transcript from Myiozetetes cayanensis, 7262 nucleotides. It is a transcript of the gene named NADH-ubiquinone oxidoreductase chain 2-like, with no coding region annotated. Lineage: Eukaryota; Metazoa; Chordata; Aves; Passeriformes; Tyrannidae. The record is from RefSeq and is a predicted model, not a curated record. The transcript has a single exon.